RNAcentral lists this long non-coding RNA (454 nucleotides) under Anas platyrhynchos platyrhynchos (common mallard). RNAcentral's name for it is "lncRNA (ENSAPLG00000019371.1)". The record is from RNAcentral. Lineage: Eukaryota; Metazoa; Chordata; Aves; Anseriformes; Anatidae.
AUGAGUCCAACAAUAACCUCAAAAAUCACCAUUCCAAGAACUUCAUCAGCAACACCUCUUGUCACAAUAAAGUCAACAACUGAACAUACAACAUUGGUUUUUACUACGCCAAGUAUGACCACAACUGUCACUACACCCUCCAUAACUACCUCAACAAAAAGGACCACAUCCAGUAAGCCGAUAUCUACACCUACUGCCUCACCAACCACUGCUUCAACAGAGACAGAAAAAGUAAGGGUCACUACACCACUCUUCGAGACCCCUACAAAAAAGGAAAUGACAACCACCUCUAUAUCUUCUCAUACUACAUCUCAGAUUGCAACCUCCAGCCAGCCUGAACUAACAACAGUAGGUAAAUACUGAUUGAUAUCUGUCAUGUGAAACCGUCACUCAAAAAACAUGUUAAUGGAUUCCUUGUAAUAAAAACAGGCAUUCUUACUAGAUGUCUUUAACA